Molecule: long non-coding RNA, 11330 nt
Organism: Rattus norvegicus (Norway rat)
Lineage: Eukaryota; Metazoa; Chordata; Mammalia; Rodentia; Muridae
Source: RefSeq, a predicted model, not a curated record
UUCAUAUCUGCCGACAUUGCAAACUUCCUCCAUGCACAGAAAAGGGGAAGAGAAGUUUUUACAUAGUGCUGAGUUUUAAUCAUCUAAUCAUGUUUCUCUUACUUUUACAAUGAAAUAUUUGUCAGGCACUAAAUCUAUGUGAGCACCAAUUAAUAAUGAAGAUAAUUUUAAAUUAUUCAUAUGUCUAAAGAGCCUACUGAGCAAAAAAUUAACAUUUCCCAUUCAUUAUGUGUACAUUUCCACUUAGAAUUUGUAUUCAGAAAGAUGAUACAGAAUUUCCUAGUUUAGCUGUGAAGGAGGAGGUUGCCAAUAAGAUUUGCUGCUGAACUUUUCUAAUCAAGAUUAGUGGGUUGGGUUUUUUGUUUUGUUUUGUUUCUAACAUGUUUAAAUUCCCCUGUAAUUUAAGUUACAUAAUGUGAUCAAGAUUUGGAAUGAGGUAGACCUUUCAUAAUGCAAGAACAUGAUAUUUAUGUCUUACCAAGAUCUAUCUUUGCUCUCCCAAACCAAACGACCUUGAUAAAGAAAAUAUCCAUGUGUCCCCCAAUACACACACACACCAGAAAGCUCACCACUCUAGGCAAAUACUCCCUGGACGUUGGUUUUGUCGUUACCCAAAGAUUUCCACCGUGGGAUGAGCAAGGUCCACCACCCUCUCCUGGGCCAGGGCAACUGGGCCCCUCCAUGGAAAACUACAACCAGAAUCAUGCUCUAAAUCACCUCAGAAAAUACCCGCUCACCCCACUCACUCUACUGUUCAGCUUCUCACAUGGGUAUUCUCGGAUACAACAAUUGUGAGCAUAAACUCUCCUGUACGCUACUUACUCCCCCUUGACUAGGAUUCGUUGAUGACGAUUAAGGUCCUGGUUUCAGAAAAAAAUGUUCACACAGGAUUAUGUUGAAAGUAAAAUGUGUAAAAUAGAGAAAAUGAUCUAAUGAUAAUCAUCUUAAUAGAUAUUUUACGAUAUAUGUAAGAAAAUGGUCAAAGACCUUUGUAUUUAAAUUGCAAGCGAAAUACCUACAUUCAUGAAGAGCAGAGAGAAAAACAGGGAGACAAUGAAUGGAAUGCAUGGCUAAUAUAUUGGCUUUAAAGUUUGUAAUGUGAUUUAACAAGCCCAAAGCAUGGUAGACCUGGCAGGUUGUCCAGUGAUGAAAUAUUUGAACAAACUUUACUCCUCCCUACCAGACAGACAGCUGAGCAAGGAGCAUCUGCCAGGGACCAGCAGUAGAAACUUUCAUGCCUCGUUGUGUGUGUCUUCGUGACCACUAACAAAACACCCUCCAGUCCAACUGACACCCCCAAGCUACUAUUUUUACAUCUGAACGGGAUGAUCCCCUGCCAGCUCUGCUCCACAGACCUUGGCAGUUGGUCAGCAGCACCAAUCCGUUCCCAGCUUUGCUGCUGUGAUGGCCGUUGGUGGUGUCUUAUUGAAGGUCUUUGUUCAGUAUUAUUUACCUCCAUUCUGCCAGGAAAAUAAAGAUAUACUUAUUGAAAUGUAUGAUGUGUUUUAUUUUCACUUGAUGCUAGAAAUACAUUUUAAAAAAUACAGCCUACCUGAAGCCAAAUAGAGGGGAAAAAUAGGAAUUUGGUAAUGUUUAUUUUAGUGAAAACUAUGUCUUUCUUUGGCUACUCUAAUCAUGGUAGCCAAACUUGUUUCUUUGUUUCAUUCACAAACCACAUGCCUGCUGUGCUCAUUGCUUGUUAUAAUUUUGUAAUAAUUUGAAACAGAGUUUGGGAUUUUCCCAAAGGAAGAGACCUGUUUUUAUCUUCUACCAAUACCAUGUCUUGCUAGCAGAGAUCUGAUGAUACUUCAUUGAUCUGAGGAGAAGUACUGUGCACCAGCACAGCCAAGAUCAGGGAUAUUGAGUUUCAUACCAUCCUCCAAGUGUCCCAUAAAUCAUAAUCUAUGAGAAUGCUCCUUUUAGCCCACCCACAGUAUACACUCAAGGAAAAGACUUUCAGAUUUAUUAGGUAGGGAUCAGUGCCCAUAAAGAUAUGGAUUUCCUAGAAUGACUGGUGUGUGGAUGAAAGCAGCAUAGUGAGGAUGAAGCCGUUUGUGUCAAUCAAACUCAGACUUACAAAGAGAGGAAACAUGCUGCUUCUGCUGUUUGUACUGCAAAAACAUUGCUGUCUUAAGGCCUGCAUAUCUGCCUCAUAGGUAUUGCAUGAGCAUUUAUGGAAUGGAUCUAUAGGAAAAAAACAAACAAACAAACAUGUUCUGAUCUUCUUCCUGUGGGUUUCCCAGAAAGAAUAUUGCCUCUAUUCUACUGUUGGGGAUUUAAAAGAACUUUUCAAUUUUAAGCAGAAAGAAACAGAAAUUUUUGCAAAUCUGGGCAGCAUUGAAGGGAGACAUCACUAGUGCAAAGAUUUGGAAGGGCAAUGUGGAAGUGGGUCACAGGUGCAUAAUGAAUCUUCUGUCAGACCAUUUAUCCUUUAAUCAUACAUAGUUUAUGCAGCUUCUUCACUUCAGGAUACAUUAGCAUAGAGAGAGCUCAUCCAAUUCCCUGUCAAAUACUUCCAUGCACAAUACAAGUUUCUAUAGGACUGAAGGAGAAGGUGACUAUUGACUUCCCUUAGUCUUCCUACUUAUUGAUGACUGAAAACAUUUCAGUACAGAAUAAAGUAGAUAAUGAGUUACUGAGUCCAGGCAUUCUCUACAUAUUGGCUUUCAAAACUGUCACUUAGUAUCAUAGCAAAAAUCACCUAACCAUAGGUUAUGGGCAGGACUUGGGUUGAGCCAAAUCUAUCCCCAUCUCCACGUUCUAAAGAGAGAAAGAUUUAGGUGAGGUAGCCUGUCUUCUGGUGUGAGAUAUUAUCAUAUUGUCCUGACUUGACACUUCUCUGUAUACAGAUAUUCUGAUUUUAGAGUCCCAUGUACUUGUAACUAAAUGGCAUAGACUACUUUAGAGCAUCAUUCUGUCAUGUAAUGGUAUGCUGAGAUGUGUUAGCCUUCUCUUUGAAAAUGCAAGUUCAGGGUCAGGAACCUAUUAUGCAUAUAACCACGUUUUAAAAUAGCACCAUUCUCUGAUUCCAUCUCUCUCACUCUCUCCUCUCUCUCUUUCUCUCUCUCAACACACACACACACACACACACACACACACACACACACACACACACGCACGCACACACACCAUCUAUACAAUGUAUCACUAUUCCUUUAGUUUCCAGGAACAUGGAGUUUGUCUAUCUGUUCACCAGCAGCCCCUGGUAUGCGAUAGGAUGUGAUAAGCACUUCAAAGAUUUCCCAAAUUAAUGAAUAUUAUUCACUGGGAUAGUCCUAAGUCCAAGUGUUCUUUCCUGUUUCCUGUGCAGUUCAGUUGAUUUUAUUAGGAGGUCUUCACUAGGCUGACAGAUUCUUCAGGAAUUCCUUCUGGUAUAAUAUGUAAACCAAUAUGUCCAUAAAUAUCUCACCUCUCAACCCUUGUGAACUCAUGGUUACCAAAUGUCAUUGCACCCAAGUUUUAGUUCUUACACUGAGUCACUGCUAUGUCUUGCUAAGGAUCCCUUUCUCAGCUUUAAUUUAUCUUCCACACUAGUUCUCAGCAUGCAUUUCUAGAAUCAUCAUUUUCAAUGGUCAUUCUAGCACUGAUGGAAGUCAGAUUAUAUCAGUAAGACAUAAAAGAUCAAAUUCAAACAAAUAAGGUUCAAAUCUUCUAGUCAGUCUUUUCCCUUGCACAAGUUACUCUUUUCUGAUCAUUAAGCAUCCACACCAUAAAUAUUAAUGAUAAUAUCUGACACCUUUGUGGCACAACGUCAACAUUAAAUUCACAGUUUUGAUUAAUAUUACUAAUAAUUUCUGUCUAUACAUUCCUUUCCAAUUCUCCAAAACUGCCUCUCACAACCCCAUUGAAUUGUAAUUGACCAGCAUGAGGUAGAAAGUAUGCCACCUCAACUCCGUGCUACCUGCCUACCAGAGCUUCUAGCGCAAGGGAGUCUCCCUAUACGCUGCAUGGGUCAACAGCAUCUUAGAAACACUUUGAAAGGGAAGAAGUUUUUCCCAUAAGAAAAUUGUCAUCAUUAAACAAUAGCUCUUAGGGUUGGAUGUGUUUGUGUGUUUGGAUGCUUUGUUUCCAGCUGGCCGAACAGUUGGGGAGCGUGUGGAAACUUGUGGACAUGGGGCUAUCUGGCUUAUUUAGGGUAGUGGUAGAAGAGUUUGAGGGUUGAGAUUAGCUCUGCUUUUUGCCCUUUCCCCCUUCUUUCUGGUAACUACCUGUAACAGGUAGUUUCCCUAAGUUGCUGCCGGCCACAGAUGAUCUUUCUGAUGGUCAAUCCCACUCAAUCAGAAGCUCCAAUCUGAUAGGAGGCUUUAUGAGCUGUAUGCUGGCAUUCAUUCCUGAUUUUAAUUAUGUUAAUAUCUUCUUGCUGCCAGUUGAAUAGUAGACAUAUACCUUCAUACUAGAACAUUUGCUUAUGUGAUGUGAACAGCAACUAGGAAAUGCAGGCUCUAUUUAACACACUUUUAACACUAUCCAUUUCCUGCCAUGAUGGGACAAGUUAGCUCUGCUGUGUGAAUCAGAAAGUAAUUACAAUAACACAUAAAAUUCUUAAUUUCUUUAACUACCAUGACUUUAUUAGAAAUGUAAUGCCAUUUCCACCAAUUCAUGGGCCCUGGAGGUCUUUCUGUCUUGCAGUGUCUUCCCCACCUUAUGAACUUGAUUGACAGACAGUACAUUACUCUCUUUACUUUUCUAAGAUAGUUCUUUUCAUUUCCAUUGCAAAUUUCUAACUCUUGCUAUAUUUUUUAGAAUCUCAUGUAUGGGCAUGAUACUCACAUCCUUCCUUCCCUCUCUUUCCUUCUUUUUACUCCUCAAAUUCAUGACAUCUUAUCCUUUCAUUGUUAUUGUUACAUUUAUACCAUUUAUAAUAUAAUCUGCUGGGAUCAUUUUAUGUUGUUCAUAUGCAUAUGUGUUUAGGACUGACUGCUUGGAAUUGGAUCAUUUACCACAAGAUAAUUCUUCCUGACAAUCAUAACUAACCUGUAACUCUUCAUCUUGGGAUAGGACCUUCGGAGAUUUUGCCUUUUCCACUCUGGCAUUUCACAGGAUGUGUUAUAUUUAGGCAACCAUAUUUUUGUGAGUCUGUGAAUGUAGCUUCUUUGUCAUGUCUAGAAGACUAUCUCUCAGCAGAUACCAUGGUUCUCUGGCUCUUAUGAUCUUACCAUCUCCUUUUCUGCCAUUUUCUCUGAGCUUUGAUGCAGGGGCCUUGUUGCUGAUAUAUAAGUAGGCUCGGUCAUCCCAUAGCCGGGUGUUUCCUCCAUUUUAAUGUUUUGAUGCAUUGUGUCUUUCUGUAAUGAUCUGUCUGCUACAUAAGAUGUUCCUUUUAUAAGAGGUGGGACUUAAAUCUGAAGUCUUUCUGAGAGCCACCUCUGACAUCUCCCCUUUUCUCAUCUUGAGCUUUUACAACUCCCCUGAUCAAACAUGCACCUAAAAAUCAUCACCAUCAAGCCUGUUUCCCAAAUCUGCAUACAGCCUUUUGCAGACUCCUGAUUAUUGGUUUCCCCUCCUGGUCCUUUCCCAGUUUUCAUGGACGCCUUGACUAACCACUUCUCAACAAGGCAAGCCUCAUAUUUUGGCAUUCCCCAACCUUCCUUCUAUCUCUACCACAUUUUUCCCAUGUAUAUAAUAAUGCUAAUUUUUUAAAGAAACUAGCCAUAUGAUUUUAUAGAGAUAAGCCACUCUCAACACUGUUCUAGGAAUCAGAAGACCAAGGAAGGAAUAGAAUGUUUCUAAUGGCAGCAACUUGUAAUAAUUCAUGGAAGCAAUGUGAACGCAGGAAAUCAAAGAUGUCAAAAGUCCAUACUUUAAAAAAAUUUAUUUCUUCUUUGUCAAUAACAUUAACAACAAAAUUGAAGCUGAUCCUACCACACCUAGCAAGUCCUAGGUAGGCAGGCAUGAUGGAAGACAUAGGUAGAAGACUAUAUGGUUCAUUGUUUGCCAAAUCAGACUUAUCUCUUAAUCCAAGAUAGAUAGACCUAUGAGAGAUAGACCUGAAGAGCUAGCUAAUGUUUAAGCCAAGAAGGACAAGUUCAGAUACACUAGUUAUCAUACUUUCAUGGUAACUGAUUGACACCAAACCGAAACAGAAGUCAAUGAGAUUCCAUGUAAUGAGUAAACUGUGUAAACACUGAACACCACAUAAAUAACGCAGCAAUUAUUACUGUGAAGAAGACUUAAUCCUACUGAAGCUUCACCCUGGUCCCUGAUGCUGUGAGACAAGAACAGGAGGAGGAGGAGACACCUGGGAUAGUUCUAGACAUGUCUAGGGCAUCUGGAGAUAGCUCUCGGCAUGUCCCUGAUCUACAGAGGAUUUUUCCUUCCUGGGAUUCUAUAUUCGUUCAAAACCAGAAGUUGUUUUUUCUCUACUUCCAAUAAUUGUGUGACAACAGUGAUAACUAAUUUUCUAACUAUUUUAGAUCAUUAUUUUUGGUGAAAAAUUAUUAGAUAUUUAUAAGUCUUCUUACCUUCAAAUUCCAUGACUGCUAUCACUUUGGUUAUUUCAGUAAUUUAUUUAAUAAUCAUCUAUGAUAACCUUUUGCUAAUGGAAUGGUAAACAAUGUGAAUGUGCUAUUUGGGGAUCUUCUUUCAAUAAUGAAAUUUAACCUUGCUGCAAUACUGAUGAUUUUUUGUUGUGUUACAAUGCUACCUGUCAGCUAUAUAGGUGGAUAGUCAUUUUCAUUCCAAGAACACAGACUUCAGAACACAGUGGUCAAUUGUAUACUGAUACAAUGUUACCAUCAGGUCAAUGGUUUGUAGCUACAGAAUCUCAGACUAAGGAGAAAAAUAAAUAUGUGUAGUACUCAUAUGCAAGGAUAUGGUGGUUUAGGUUUUUGCUUUUUGGCUCUGAAAGAAAGGAAUGCAGCAAGCACUUUCAAAUUCACUGAUAACUUCUUUCAUGUGAUGUAUGUCACUUAUAAAAAUAAAACUAAGGACACUUUGGUGCCUAAAUGACCCACAGGAAGGCAUCUGAAAAGUGGGCAAUUUGGCCUCAAAUUUUGAUGUUCUGUCUGGAAAAUAUCACAAAAACAUAUGCAUUUUAAAUACAUAAAGAAUGUUGGGGCUGCCUGCUUAGAAUAUUGGGAUUGAUUUAUGUCAUUUCGGAUUUUUCUUGAAAGUACUCAACAGGCCCCAGACAUAAUCAAUGAGCAAUUUGCAAAGAAACUAAAUCAUUUCUUUAAAUCAUAAUCACAUUUAUGAAAACGAUUUCUGUGUGAGCGAUAAGAGAAUCAUAGACCAGGAAGCCUAUGCAUAGGUCUCAUGUGUGUGACCUUGGGCAAAUAUCUCCUUCAUGCAUCAAGUUUUCUAAUGUACAUUAUUUUAACAGGUCUAGCAGCAGAAAUAUAUGUAUUACAUAUAUUAUACAUAUAAUAUAUAUAUGUGUAUAUAUAUAUGUAUAUAUAUAUGUAUAUAUAUAUAACAUGUCAAUAUGAUGCUCAAAACCUCCAGUGCUCCCAAGUGGGGCAAAAACACUCUUCUCAGCAAUGUUCUAGGCUGCCUUUAUUUCCCAUUUCCCCCUCUUUCUAAUCUGUCUUCAACAAAGUGUUUAGAUUCCUUCAUUUUCUCUCUAGUUUUCCAUGACUAAGGUUGCUAUAUAACCUUCCUCAAUUCUUAUUUGAAUGUAAGAUUCUUGUGAAUAGUCACUGUCUCACAACCUUACAACCUCCCUUGCUCAACUUUACCUGUGCCCUGGAGGCUUUCAAAUGUGCUCCCCGUGUUACAGCCUAUGAUAGGUAAUUGUGUUGAUUUGGAUGAGCUAAGGAAUAACCAUUACAUCUGGCCAUGUCUUUGAAAGCUUUUCUGGAGGAAAGAAUUUGAAUAACAGGUGAUGUGAAAAAUGAUCCAAUUCUUCAAGGGCUGAGGGACUGUACAAAGGCAGAAGGAUGGCCAGUUCUAUCUCCUAUCUUGAUCUAGAGCCUCAAUGUUCUCCUGCCCUCUGACAUUACAGUUCCUGGCUCUUAAGUCUUUAUACUCCAGAAACAUCAAUAUUUCCUUCCCAUUACUUUCUCCAUGUUGUGAAAUAUACCAUUGUCAUUUUGUUUUGUUUUGUUUUUUAAUUUUUACCAGUUAUUUUAUUUAUUUACAUUUCAAAUGUUAUCCCUCUUCCCAGUUUCCCCUCUAAAAGCCCCCAUUUCACUCUCCUUCCCCCUCCCUCCAUGAGGGUGCUCCCCCUGACUCCUACCCCCACCCUGCCAUGGCAUUCCCUUACACUGGGGCAUCAAGCCUUCACGGGAUCAAGGGCUUCCCUUCCCAUUGAUACCAGACAAGGCCAUUUUCUGCUACAUAUACAGCUGGAGUCAUGGGUCCACCCAUGUGUACUCUUUGGUUGGCAAUUUAGUCCCUGGGAGCUCUGGGGGGUCUGGGUGGUUAAUAUUGUUAUUCUUCCUGUGGGGUUGUAAACCCCUUCAGUUCCUUCAGUCCUUCCCCUAACUCCUCCAUUGGACUCCCUGUGCUCAGUAUGAUGAUUGGCUACAAACAUCUGCAUCUGUAUUAGUACGGCUCUCAGGAGACAUCCAUAUCAGGCUUCUGUCAGCAAGCAUUUCUUGGCAUCAGCAAGUGUCUAUGUUUGGUUGGAAUGGAUCCCCAGGUGAAGCAGUCUCUGGAUGACCUUAAGUCUCUGCUUCACUCUUUAUCUCUGUAUUUCCUUUAGACAGGAGCAAUUCUGGGUUAAAAUUUUGAGAAGGGUGGGUUGCCCCAUCCUUCAACCUGGGGCCAUACCUAACCUCUGGAUACAGUCUCUAAAGAUUCUCCCUCCCCUUUGUUGGGUAUUUCAGCUAAUGCCAUCCCGUUGGGUCCUGGGAACCUCUUGCUUUUCUGGCAUCUGGGACUUUCUGGUGGCUACACCCAGUUCCUUAUCCCCUAUUGCUGCACACCUCUGAACAAUUUCCUGACCCUUUGUACAUCCCACCCAUCUCCUCUCACACCCAAUCCUACCCACCUUUUUCCUCUCCUCCUCCUCUCUUCCUCACAAGUCCCUCCUUCCCUCAACCUCCCCUGAUUUUGUUCCUCCUUCUAAGUAGGACUGAGGCACCCACACUUUGGUCUCCCUUUCUCUUGACCUUUAUAUGAUCUGUAAGUUGCAUCAUGAAUAUUCUGUGCUUUUUUCCUAAUAUUCACUUAUCUUCCAUCCAUUUGCCUGUAAAUUUCAUGAAGUCAUUGUUUUUAAUAGUGUAAAUCUACCACAUUUUUUGUAUCCAUUCCUCUAUUGAGGGACAUCUGGGUUCUUUCCAGCUUCUGGCUAUUAUAAAUAAAGCUGCUAUGAACACAGUGCAGCAGGUGUCCUUGUCAUAUGUUGAAGCAUCUUUUGGAUAUAUGCCCCAUUAUCACUUUGAUUCUCAGGCAUUGGACUAAAUUACAUAGCCACUUUUCUAGGUUCUCUAGCUUAAGGUGGCAAAUGGUGGCAUAUCUUCAUGUCCAUGAACCCAGGAGUAAAUUUAUAAUGUUUUUGUCUAUCCACCUACCUAUAUCUACCUACCAUUUAUAAUUUACAUUUCUCUAGCACUUAUAAUUUAUCUGCAUUUGUCUAUCAUCUAUCUAAUCUGCCUAAAUUUACUAUCAUGUAUACCUGUUGUCAAUUGUUUAUCUAUGAUGUCUAUCUAUCUAUCUAUCUAUCUAUCUCUGUCUAUAUAUAUUAUCUAUCUACUCAUCUAUCAUUCCUCAUCAUUAGUCUAUCAUAUAUGUGUGUUUAUCUAUUAUGAAUGAUUUACAUCUGUCUAUUUACCUGUCUUUCUGUCUCUUCUUAGUUCAGUUCCUGUGGCGAUCUCUGACUGAUUCUCUCACUUUCUUUGCUAGAAUGAAGUGAAUGAAAACACGGACUUUUCUAUUUUGUUUACUUUUGUAUUCCCCACACCAAUUAUCACCCCUAAAAGAUAAAACAAAACACUUAAUUGUCGCUUCCAACCCCGACCAGCAGGAAAGGAGCGACACAACGAAGUUCUUCUCAAAGCAGUUUAUUCAGGAACCUUUUAGCAUGUAAGCAGCAGCAAUCUCUUUUCUUCCCUUCCUUCUCCCCCCAGCGCCCGAGCACACUCCCUUAUAUCCUCCCUCAACUCCGCCUCUCCGUCCAGACCGCAUAAUCUCAGUUCAUAGGUCCACGUCACACGGCCUGAUCUUGCGUCAUGGUGCGCCUGCGCAGCUCUCACAAUGGACGUGGCUAGUUUCAGGUGUGUGAGGAAGUCAGGUGCUAGUCAUGAGACUUAGCUGCAGUCCCAGGAGCCAUCUUGGGACUGCCGCCACACCCUCUCCCACAUCCUUUGUGACUGUAUAGCUCAGAAUGGCUCCCUACACUUAAUAAUAUAUGUUGAACACAAAAAUGAAUUGGUCAUGUAUCUCCUGAAUACAUAUUGCCUUCCAUACAUGAUCAUGGCUACGGAAGACUCCAAGAUGAAGAAAUUGUGGUCCUCACUCUUGAAAGCACAUAAUCGGCAGAUGUGAGCUUAACCUUACCAAGAUAAAUGAGUAGGUUUGAGUGUUUCAAGACCUUUUGAACAGGGUUUUGUGUAACCAAGAAUGGCUUUGACCUAACGCCUAUGUACCCAAGGAUGGCCUAUAACUCCUGACUCUCUUACCUUCACCUCACACUCACUGGAGCAUUAUUUUCAUAUGUGGCUACUGAACAUUUUCAAACCUUCAUGUGGCUCCUCUCUCAUUUCUGCGGCAAAGUGCUGCAUAGAAAAAAGCCUUAACUCGAGUGACUAAGAAGCAGUCUUGCUUACUGGGGUUUGGAGGUAAACAAGCCACUUGGUUAGCUGGCUUGAAGAAAGUGGAAUGAAGAGUUCUGAAAGACACCUGUGUCAUCCAAAUAACCCAUUCUCUGUACACACCCAGCACUUACCUGAUCUCAAGCUGGACAACUCCAAUUUGUCCCCAAAGAGAAUCCUACUCUCCAGUCACCAAAGAACAGAAGGGCUAGCUCAUGUUCUGCCAACGUUUCUUCCUGGACACGCCCUGCCUAUGUCUUUGGCUUUCACCAGUCAAGCACACAAUCUGCUUUUCGUUUUUGUUUUCAGUUAGUUCCUGAUCGUCUACAGACCUAUGUCCAUAAAAUAUUGGAAGUAAGGGGGAAAAUGCCUAGCCACAGUCUACAACUUUGUUUCAACUUACGCAGGCAGGAAGGCAGGUAAUUGAAAAUGAGGCUGAGAGUCUUAGCCAUUAGCCAGCAUCUGGCUACUGACACCUAAACGCAGCCUUUCAAGAGGGCUUAACGUCCUGAAAGUCAGUACCUCUAAAGUCAUGGAGCUGAUUAAUAAUGCCCCUGCCUGAGUCGGAAUUCCUGCUGAGGCUCUUGCUGGUGGUUGAAGAGUCUUCCUGCAGCUUUCAUAAAUUAGUUGAUAACUGAA